GCCCCGGUAGCUCAAUGGAUAGAGUAGCUCCGUCCUAAGGAGAUGAUAUAGGUUCGAUUCCUUUCCGGGGUACCA
Molecule: transfer RNA, 75 nt
Filed under: Candidatus Saccharimonadota bacterium
Lineage: Bacteria; Candidatus Saccharimonadota
Description: Candidatus Saccharibacteria bacterium tRNA-Arg
Rfam family: tRNA
About the family: Transfer RNA (tRNA) molecules are approximately 80 nucleotides in length. Their secondary structure includes four short double-helical elements and three loops (D, anti-codon, and T loops).
Source: RNAcentral